UACGAAGGGGGCUAGCGUUACUCGGAUUGACUGGGCGUAAAGGGCGCGUAGGCGGCUUGUACAGUCAGACGUGAAAUUCCUGGGCUCAACCUGGGGGCUGCGUUUGAUACGUGCGGGCUUGAGUUCGGAAGAGGGUCGUGGAAUUCCCAGUGUAGAGGUGAAAUUCGUAGAUAUUGGGAAGAACACCGGUGGCGAAGGCGGCGACCUGGUCCGAUACUGACGCUGAGGCGCGAAAGCGUGGGGAGCAAAC
RNAcentral lists this ribosomal RNA (250 nucleotides) under uncultured bacterium. RNAcentral's name for it is "partial 16S ribosomal RNA". It matches the Rfam family "Bacterial small subunit ribosomal RNA", at positions 524 to 773 of the family's 1533-position model. The record is from RNAcentral.